GGCCCAAAAUCACAAAUAAAAUUAUAACCCAAAAUUAUUUUCUACAACUAUGAACUCGCGCCAUUUUUCGGCAAUGGCGGAUUGAAACAUUGAAUCUACUGAUUACAUAAUCUCAAAUCUUUACUUUUAGCAUACAAAUUUAUACUUCAUCAAAAAUGGCGAUCUUUCCAAUUUCUAUGAAGAAUUUAUCAUCAAAACCAGCAAUUUUAGGAGAGAGAAAGAGAGUUGAAGAAACUGCAAAGAUGAGGGUACGACAUUACAAUGGUUGGAGUAUUCGCCAGAAUUCUUACAGAAAAUCAGUGAAUAACUAUGGAAUUACAUGAAAUUUCUCCAAGUUUGAGGGAUUUUCUUAUUUUUGGUGAGGUGAUUUAAGGUUUUGCUUUGCCUAUUACAUGUUCGACGAAAUGCCUCUGAGAAUAGGGUGGAGCUUCUCAAGUAUUAAUUUUGAACCAUACUUGGGUUUUUCAUAAGAAAUUUGUUGUAAUUAGUAAUUCUUCUUGUGAUAGUUAUGAUUUGCUGUCCAAGGGGCUGCAUCAAGGUGGGAAAGUGACGAGCUUCGAAGCUUCGAGGGUGAAGGAAAGGUGGUAUUUGAUGGUAUUAAUCAUGAUUCAAAGUGAUGUGACAUUCUGAAAUAAUUGGGAGAAUCAUAUAGUAUUGAUAACAUCAUAACAAGGAAGAGCAAUCCUCAUCAUUGAUGAUUGUUCAUAUUGUGGGGGUUGGCCAAGGUAAUGGGAAAUGGCUGGUGGUUGAUGCAUUUUCUAGGCAGCUUUACAUGGUUAUUCAAAGAACGCAAUGCUUGGGUUUCAGGUUUCGGGUUUACGAGUGAAACGAAGAUGUGCAAUUAUGGGAAAAAAGGGUUAACUACUAGGGAGACAAUGUUAUUUGUGGAUAUCAAUUUUUGUUUUAGUGCCUCAAUAUUGCGAAUUUCACAUGGUUUUCUUGAUCAGCAUAAAUGUGAUUAUGUAGAUGAUAUAGACAGUAUUUUGUUCGAGAAGUCAGAUGUUGGCACUGGUUGGCACGAACAGCGGAUUGAUCUUUUUUUGAUACGAAGACUUCUUGAGCUAGCUUAUGGUAUCAUGUCUCUCUUUCAAUCUGAUUUGGUUUAUAUAAUUUUCAUCUGGGGGAACUUGUUAGUGAUUUCAAAUUGUGGUAUAAUAGCCUUAGGUUUCGCAAACUGAUCAGGGUGCCACAAAUAUGGUCAUACUGGUCGAAUGAGAUUGACAAUUCUAGCAUAAUAUGUAGCCAAACUUGUAGAACCAGCCUACUCGUCAGGGUAGGUGCAAAAGGAUGUGCAGUGUCUUCUAAAGAGAGAUUUGGAGGUGAUUUAUGUCUGAAAAGGCUCUGUAUUAGACAGACGUGAAGUUGUUCGAGGAUGUACUUGGAGUCUUGGAGUAAUGUGAGGUUAGAAAGUGGUUAAGGGCCAGAGAGAUGGCUGCUCUGGAUCGGAGGGAGAUUUUGGCGAGCCAGAAUAAUUUUAAGACGGUAAGAUAAUAAAUUUAACGGAACCAUUGUUGUUGCAACUUAAGAGCAGAAGUCAAUCUUUUUGUUAUUGCUCCAUCAGCUGCUGUUUAGAAAAUAAGAAGAUCGUGUAUAGUUGUGGCUUUGCAUACAAUGAAACUCCAAGAGUCAUAGACUUAUAAAGAAGCUUUAAUCUUUAUAUCCUAAUUAUACAUGUUCUAUUCUGUUGCACAAGCUUAAAGAAUCCUGUCUGAUGUAUUGUUGAAUGGUUACUUAAAUUGCCUUGUAAAUAAAUGAAUUAGAAGCCACAGUUCUUGAUUUUACACCCUUUUUUUUUUUUUGAAGUUAAGGAUGCAAUACUUAAGUUAAAGUUCGGUUACAAUCAAAGAUCACUGGGACAUCACCAGUCAAAGUAGUACUAGAGUUUACAUUACAAAAGUUCAUGUCUCUCUCAAAAGCUACAAGACAAGUAUCUGGUGGAUUAGACAAAAUACAACAUUCAUUCAGGCGAUCCAGAUUGCUCCUAGCAUCCUUUGCAAGCACAUCAGCUACUGCAUUGCUCUCUCGCUUCUCAAAGCGCAUAUCCACAUGGAGGUCCAUCCUUAGGUCCCUGCAAUUUAGUAACAUCGAUGGAGCAUUAGAGAUUCAACCCCAGAUGGAUAGCUUUCAAUUCGGCAUCAUAACUUGAGGCUAGAAAACCUCUCCAGUUUAGCCCAUCAAUCCAGGCACCCAGAGAAUUUCUACACACUACAGCGCAGCCAGCUUCUUUUGUGGAGAUUAGAAACGAUGCAUCACAGUUUACUUUGAAGAAAUUUGAAGGAGGGGGAGACCAGUGUACAGGAGAGGGCUUCGGACUUUCAGAGCUUCACUUUGAAGAAAAGAAAAACUCUGAAGCAGCCCAUUUACACUGAGAGAUUGCUGAAGAAAUUGGGGUGUUUGAAUUUGAGAAGUACCAAGCAUUACGCCUCAACCAAAUAUGCCACAUAGCAAAGAAUUGCAGAUUGUGUCAUCAUGAACAACUAGGCUGGACCGUGCUUGGAGAUAGACAAAUCAAUCAGUUCGCAUCGUCGUUGUGGUGAGUGUGUUUAUUGUAAGAUUGGUCACAAUGCUUCGCAACACAUUGAUUUUUAGUUAUAUCUAGAUAAAACCCUGUUCUUUUGUUCUUAGUAUUUUUUUUUUUUGUUUGCUUGCUUGUUUGUUAGUUAUGUCUACCUAUGCUCGUUCUUUCCAAUUUCCAUUAUAUGUCUUUAAUUAACUUUGAUAUCUGUCAGUUUUGUAGUCAAGAUCUCUAUUUUUUUUCCUUUUUUUUUUUUUUUUUUUUUGAAUUGGAUACUAGAAUAAUGAGGAAAUAAUGUCCAAUCCCCAGGAGUUGCAAACUUUUGUAUUCUUACCUGCCUAAGCGUGCAGAAUUGCGUCCCAUGGAAGGUUAGCUGCUAGCUUGAUUGGUGACUAAGUAGUAUACAUCUUAGGCAAGCGUUUAGUAAUGUAGUUUACACUAUCUAUAGCUUAGAUAUUGAAAGGGAAAAAAGGACCAGAGAGAUGGUGAGCUGAGAGAGUGCCUUGGGAUCAUUUAUAUAAAGCCCCAUACAGUACGGCUUAUUACUUCAGAUGAUAACUACAUGCUGGGAUAGUAUAUUGUUACUAACAAAAAUAUGUUGACUUGCUGUUAGUGUGAAUUAAAGACGAGCCUUGUACCUGAAGAGAUGUUUGGGCUUGGAUCAAAUGCUGUUGUGAUGUGUAUACUUGAGGCCUCAGUCAGUAUUCCAACACACUAUAUAAAACUGGUAAUGAGUCUGUGUCUAACGUCUAGGCAAUGAUGUAAAGCUAAGAAACAGAUCAAAGAUGUGAUAGGGUAUUAGGAUGGGCUCAGUAUUUUCCGUCUGCCUGAAUUCUGCAGUCCUACUAGUAACCGUGGCUUUUAGAUCAUAGUUUAGGAGCAGAAAACAUCCAUUAUGUGCC
This is a long non-coding RNA of Chenopodium quinoa (quinoa), 3417 nucleotides long. RefSeq lists it as uncharacterized. The record is from RefSeq and is a predicted model, not a curated record. Lineage: Eukaryota; Viridiplantae; Streptophyta; Magnoliopsida; Caryophyllales; Amaranthaceae. The transcript has 3 exons.